Molecule: transfer RNA, 71 nt
Filed under: Marmota monax (woodchuck)
Lineage: Eukaryota; Metazoa; Chordata; Mammalia; Rodentia; Sciuridae
Rfam family: tRNA
About the family: Transfer RNA (tRNA) molecules are approximately 80 nucleotides in length.
Source: Rfam by way of RNAcentral
UGGGUUGUGGCUCAGUGGUAGAGCGAAGACUUGCCCGUGUGAGGCACUGGGUUCGAUCCUCAGCACCUCAU